CUAGCGACCGGUCACUUUGCUUUGUCACGGAAAUAUUUUGUAUUAAUAAUAUUUGCUAAAAUAGGGAAUAAAAGGACGUUAAAAUGAAUUGUGCAUCUAGGUGUCCUCGCACAACGCGGGGCAACCAGAAUAAAGGGAAAAACAUACAAUUUUACAGCAUUCCAGUCGGAAGCACUUUCGUACCUUGAACUCGUAAAAAGCCAUUUAUUUAUGGAUAAAUGCAAUAAAGAAACAUAUUAGAAAUCCAGAUGGGUCAUCAAAAAUCGGAAAAUCUUUUACACCCGCCCGGAACAUUUAUGUUUUUUUUUGGUUUUGUGUGCCCUAAUUAGUAGUGAUGCACGGAUUGUGUUCUCACAGAUACGAAAGGAGUGCUAUCAAACAAGAGUUCCAAAGGAGAUGUGUGGCUACCUCAAAGCCUGAUUGAGACGAACAUUUGUAUUUCAACAGAAAAGAAUACCAUUCUUUGAACCUACAAAUGGUGACUCGGGGUACCCCUUGAGACCCUGGCUAUACACAAAACGCCCGUAACUGCAUAGAGCGUUGCUUUGGACUCCUGAAGUCGAGAUGGAGGUGUCUUAACAAGAAACAAACUCUUAACUACGAACCGCAUGUGGCGAGCCAAAUAAGUAUUGCGUGCUGUGUCCUGCACAACAUUGCUCUUAGUGCUAAGUUUGUGAUGUUAUGGUGAAAUAUUGUUUCACUCGGUGCCAAAAUAUGUUAAACCUUCGUGCUUUGCAAUUCUCACAACGCUAAGAUUUCACUUUCGAAAUACUCGCUCGUGUCUUUCACUUACUCGGAUAUGAAGAGCACAGCACAAGCGGUUAAACAAUUUUUUGCUCCUUUUGAAAACAAAUAAAGUAUUAUAUUUAACUACUUCAUGUCUUAUAACGAAACAAAAGGGUUGAACAGUAAAGACAAUUUUGUAUAGCAAAAUAGUUUUAUUUAUUAUUAUCGUCUUUUAACACACUAGCGUUUUCGACUUAUUUGUAAUAGCGGCAUCACAUGACAUGGUAAAGAAACAAUUAUCAGAUCAGUACCACCCGAGUAUAGCCAAAGAGGAUAGAGUAUUAUAGAGCGUUACUGUCAAAGCAAAAUGUGUAAUCACAGUGCAUAGACUGCCAUCUCUCCACACAGGCUUAAAACUUUUGAACCUCAGUUUUGACAAUUUGGCCCAUAUUCUGAGCUUGAUAUGUUUUAAAAUGUCAAAUUUUAAUAUUAGCGCCAUCUAGCCGAGCGUACCUCGAAGGUGUAACGCCAUCUAGGUCACGGUACCUUUAUCUAUAUGGUACUGAGAUACGUUUUUUUCUUAGACUUUAUCCGUCUAGAUGGAGUUAUAUAGGUCUUUGGUAUAGCCUAGAUUCCAGGCUAUGGUAGUAAUUUAAUACUAAAAUAUUUAAGACAACAAUUGUAAAAUAUAAACAUGAGUACAUAAAUACUAACACCCUUAUUCAUAAACAUUCAGUAAAGUUAUCAAGCCGAUAAAGUUCGUUUGUCCCUUUCCGACGUAUAGGUGUGAUAAAAGCGAUCCUGUCAACCCCUGUUCCCUAAACUUAAUAUACUUCCACUGCCUUCCCUUUACAUUUAUGAGGCCUCGAUAUUUGUAAAACUAAAUCCUGAACUCUUUCCUUCACAGGGGAAUCUUUCCAAUAGGCCCUUAUGACAAUAUCAAAUGCCAAUACCGCCACAUAGCUUAGUAGUCAGGAAAAAGAGUGCAUACAUUAUGUGCAUUAGAAUAUUUAACAAAAUUCCUGUAGCUCUAAAAACCUUGCCAAUUCAAGAAUUCAAACGUAAACUCUAUGAAAUGUUAUGUAAGUAUUGUUUUUAUAGUAUUAAUGACUUUUUAAAUUAUAAAUUUCAAUCUAAAUUUUAACUUAAAUUUUUAUGUGUAUGACAU
Long non-coding RNA from Leguminivora glycinivorella, 1894 nucleotides. RefSeq lists it as uncharacterized. The record is from RefSeq and is a predicted model, not a curated record. Lineage: Eukaryota; Metazoa; Arthropoda; Insecta; Lepidoptera; Tortricidae. The transcript is spliced from 4 exons.